ACCCAUUAUUACUCCAACCAUUAUUUUAAAUUGUAAUAAUAUUUGACAAUAGUACUGUUUUUUUUUUUUUUAUUAAAUACAUGCAGGCUUAAUGGGCAUAAAAUAUUUAUUUCAAAAACAUUACAAAUAGCAAUGCGUGUAAACUUUUGACCAGUACUGUAAAUAUUUAUAUCACAACAAAUUGUUGGUGAAAUACUUAAACACUAAUAAACAUUCUUUUUAUAUACAUGUAUUGCAUUUUUGUGUAAUUUUAUUAUUAUUAUUAUUAUUUUAGGUUACUGUUGUAUAACUUGGUUUCAAAGCUACAUCAGUGUGUAUUUCAGAUUAAUGAACCUGGACUCAGUGUCAUAAUUUACAUUGAAAUGUAUUGUCAAAACUUUAAUAACAAAACAAAAAGACCUUUAAAAUAAGAAUUUGUUUUCCUAGUCAUCUUUUAUUACGAAGUAGUUACUUAAGAAAAUAUAACUGUAACGGGUCACGUGACAGGUAUACCGCGGUAGGCGCGUAUAUCUGUGACGGGUCGAGUGACAGGCGCGUAUAUCUGUGACAGGUCGAGUGACAGGCGCGUAUAUCUGUGACAGGUCGAGUGGCAGCUGCCCCUGCCACGCAAAGAUGUUACUCCCUCUCCAGAGUAGCUUACAAAACGUUUAUUAACAAAAACGAUAAGAUGAGACAUGGAAUAUGCCUACACUACAUGCUGUAUUAGGCUGCAUAGCCUAAUGACUAAUAAAUUACAGAACGUUUAGCAAGCAAUGAGGAAUCAAAUAAAAAUAAAAAAUAAAUAAAAGAGAGCCUCCAUAGCAUAACGUGAUGUAAACAGCAAAGAUAAGCUUUUCAAAAUGAAAUCAAAACAAAAAGAAAAGUAAAACUAAACUUGCUGUCGGUGACAGCUCUUGCAUGUUUUCCCCCCCACGAGAAUACCAACAUGUUCACCAUCUCUGGUUUAAGAAGCGGUCUUUUACUUUACUUUAGCGUGAAAACCAUCAGUAUUCGCGUCAUUUUUGCUGCGCGCACCUUCGCGCUCCUGCUGACGCCGCUCACUCGAUUUUGUUAUAGGCUAUUCUUUAAUUUUGUAGUCCGUAUGAAAAGGUUUAUUUCUAUUAAAGCCAGGUCCGUGGAGAUGGCGAAUCAGUGUCGGCAUUCGUCAACCUAAUCAUUGCACCCGACUCAGAAAGCACUUAUUAAUAAAUUAUUAAAAUGUCUUCUUUUCCCCUGAUACGUUCAUAAUCACUUUGCCGGUGUUUUGAGGCAAUUGCUUUAUGCGUGAGCUUGAGCGCGGAAUGCCUGUAGCCUAUUAAAGUAUGGUUAAUAUAUUAUUAUAUUAAUCAAUUUAAUAUAACGUGCGAAUAGUUGACUAGAAAAAUCUAUAGGGAAGGCCUAUUUAGCAGAAGGAAGCGCUCCAUUUUCUUUUCUUUUUUUAAAUAAAAUCCUAUAAUGACAUUACGAAAAGUGCGACAACUGAAAAUCACGUCGUUAUUGCACUUUACCAGUUAUACAUGCAUAAGGAGUCAAAUGUUUUUGUUGUUGUAGUAGUUUUUAUCACCCUGAUUAGAUUAUGAAGAAUUAUUUGUUGAUCUUGUUUUCCCUUUAAUAUACCUAAUACAUACCGCAAGAUAUUUUGAAAGUGACCCAUACUCAGAAUUCUUGCUCUGCAUUUAACCCAUCCAAAGUGCACACACACAGCAGUGAACACAGACACACACAACGUGAACACACACUCGGAGCAGUGGGCAGCCAUUUAUGCUGCGGCAGCCGGGGAGCAGUUGGGGGUUCGGUGCCUUGCUCAAAGGCACCUCAGUCAUGGUAUUGCCAGCCCGAGACUCAAACCCACAACCUUAGGGUUAGGAGUCAAACUCUCUAACCACUAGGCCAUGACUUUUUCAGUUACUUUCAAAAUGUGGUAGGGACAAUAUCUGCCAUACCCGUUGGAUGAACUGGAAUGUGUUCUUCAUAGAUUUAGGGUAGUUGAGAAGCAGUGUGUAUGCAAGUCCAUAAUGCAUAUAGCUUUUGGCAAGUCAUCAAUAUUGUCCAUCACAACUUCUCCUUCAAUGAUGAUCUUCAAUGAGGCUGGAUUGAGAUGGAGAGAAGAUGAGAGCCUUCUUGCUCAAUGAGGAGGAUUCCAAUGUCAUCAGAGUCCUAACAACAUUACAGCACAAUCAUGAAAUUUCUCAUUACAUAACCAUCAAUAAUGUUAAGCAAUUUGUUACGACUGCUGGAGUUCUGUCUUCACAAUGAUUAUUUAAAUUUUGGUAACAUGGACUUUUAAUGUAGGAACAGAAACUUAUGAUGUUUCAUUAAAAACAGUUCACACAAAAGUGAAAAUCAGCUGUUAAUUUUCACAUCCUCAGGCCAUCCAAGGUGAAGCUGAGUUUUUCUUCAGCAGAACCUUAAAAAUGAUUAGCUAAAACUGUGGUCCUUGGUGAUUGAUAUAAAACAGUCAACGGAAACAGUUUUUGAUUGUUAAAAAAAACAUGCACAGGCAAAACAAAAUUAAUACCUGUGGAUACUCCUGACCAUACACUGAGGUCUUAAGUAAAACAAUUGGUAUGAGAAGCAUCCACAGCCUCUGCAAGCGGUCCUGAAUGCAUUCACAACAGUCUAGAGCGUGAGUUUCCUGUCACAUAUAAUGUAUGUACAUGAGCAAUCUUCCUGAAGUUGACUGCACAAGCAAAUGAUUUUUAAUUUUUAUAGAGAUUGUGGGAUCCAAGAUAAGUACACGGAAGUACCAUUUUGACGAUGACCAAUACAACACACAAUGCUUGCUCUCGGCGGUGGAUUAAAGAUUGUUUUAAAGCACUCCCAUCCAUACUGUUAUAGCACUGUACCAGACAGCACACUAUUCAGAACUGAGAAUCAGUGCAGUUCCUCCUGUACAGGGCUGCACUGAAUGGAGCAGAGCUGGCACAAACCUAGAACAAUGAGAGUCAAGCCAGGUCCUGUCAGUGGGAUGGUGGCCCUGUUUUCAAGCGAGGAAACUCGCUGAGUGGUUAAGAUCUCUCUGUGGAAGACCGACUGAAAGGUGGACCAUGAAGUGGAGCAACUUAUCGAAGGACUGUAG
Molecule: long non-coding RNA, 3058 nt
Organism: Cyprinus carpio carpio
Lineage: Eukaryota; Metazoa; Chordata; Actinopteri; Cypriniformes; Cyprinidae
Source: Ensembl